RNAcentral lists this ribosomal RNA (1372 nucleotides) under uncultured bacterium. RNAcentral's name for it is "bacterial SSU rRNA". It matches the Rfam family "Bacterial small subunit ribosomal RNA", at positions 28 to 1381 of the family's 1533-position model. The record is from RNAcentral.
GAUGAACGCUGGCGGCGUGCCUAAUACAUGCAAGUCGAGCGAACGGACGAGAAGCUUGCUUCUCUGAUGUUAGCGGCGGACGGGUGAGUAACACGUGGAUAACCUACCUAUAAGACUGGGAUAACUUCGGGAAACCGGAGCUAAUACCGGAUAAUAUUUUGAACCGCAUGGUUCAAAAGUGAAAGACGGUCUUGCUGUCACUUAUAGAUGGAUCCGCGCUGCAUUAGCUAGUUGGUAAGGUAACGGCUUACCAAGGCAACGAUGCAUAGCCGACCUGAGAGGGUGAUCGGCCACACUGGAACUGAGACACGGUCCAGACUCCUACGGGAGGCAGCAGUAGGGAAUCUUCCGCAAUGGGCGAAAGCCUGACGGAGCAACGCCGCGUGAGUGAUGAAGGUCUUCGGAUCGUAAAACUCUGUUAUUAGGGAAGAACAUAUGUGUAAGUAACUGUGCACAUCUUGACGGUACCUAAUCAGAAAGCCACGGCUAACUACGUGCCAGCAGCCGCGGUAAUACGUAGGUGGCAAGCGUUACCCGGAAUUAUUGGGCGUAAAGCGCGCGUAGGCGGUUUUUUAAGUCUGAUGUGAAAGCCCACGGCUCAACCGUGGAGGGUCAUUGGAAACUGGAAAACUUGAGUGCAGAAGAGGAAAGUGGAAUUCCAUGUGUAGCGGUGAAAUGCGCAGAGAUAUGGAGGAACACCAGUGGCGAAGGCGACUUUCUGGUCUGUAACUGACGCUGAUGUGCGAAAGCGUGGGGAUCAAACAGGAUUAGAUACCCUGGUAGUCCACGCCGUAAACGAUGAGUGCUAAGUGUUAGGGGGUUUCCGCCCCUUAGUGCUGCAGCUAACGCAUUAAGCACUCCGCCUGGGGAGUACGACCGCAAGGUUGAAACUCAAAGGAAUUGACGGGGACCCGCACAAGCGGUGGAGCAUGUGGUUUAAUUCGAAGCAACGCGAAGAACCUUACCAAAUCUUGACAUCCUUUGACAACUCUAGAGAUAGAGCCUUCCCCUUCGGGGGACAAAGUGACAGGUGGUGCAUGGUUGUCGUCAGCUCGUGUCGUGAGAUGUUGGGUUAAGUCCCGCAACGAGCGCAACCCUUAAGCUUAGUUGCCAUCAUUAAGUUGGGCACUCUAAGUUGACUGCCGGUGACAAACCGGAGGAAGGUGGGGAUGACGUCAAAUCAUCAUGCCCCUUAUGAUUUGGGCUACACACGUGCUACAAUGGACAAUACAAAGGGCAGCGAAACCGCGAGGUCAAGCAAAUCCCAUAAAGUUGUUCUCAGUUCGGAUUGUAGUCUGCAACUCGACUACAUGAAGCUGGAAUCGCUAGUAAUCGUAGAUCAGCAUGCUACGGUGAAUACGUUCCCGGGUCU